RNAcentral lists this ribosomal RNA (510 nucleotides) under uncultured Xanthomonas sp. RNAcentral's name for it is "partial 16S ribosomal RNA". Lineage: Bacteria; Pseudomonadati; Pseudomonadota; Gammaproteobacteria; Lysobacterales; Lysobacteraceae. The record is from RNAcentral.
CACGAAGUUAGCCGGUGCUUAUUCUUUGGGUACCGUCAGAACAAUCGGGUAUUAACCGACUGCUUUUCUUUCCCAACAAAAGGGCUUUACAACCCGAAGGCCUUCUUCACCCACGUGGCAUGGCUGGAUCAGGCUUGCGCCCAUUGUCCAAUAUUCCCCACUGCUGCCUCCCGUAGGAGUCUGGACCGUGUCUCAGUUCCAGUGUGGCUGAUCAUCCUCUCAGACCAGCUACGGAUCGUCGCCUUGGUGGGCCUUUACCCCGCCAACUAGCUAAUCCGACAUCGGCUCAUCUAUCCGCGCGAAGCCCGAAGGUCCUCCGCUUUCACCCUAAGGUCGUAUGCGGUAUUAGCGUAAGUUUCCCUACGUUAUCCCCCACGAAAAGGUAGAUUCCGAUGUAUUCCUCACCCGUCCGCCACUCGCCACCCAUGGUAUUGCUACCACUGUGCUGCCGUUCGACUUGCAUGUGUUAGGCCUGCCGCCAGCGUUCACUCUGAGCCAGGAUCAAACUCU